UCUGGACUUCAGGAGACAGCU
This 21-nucleotide microRNA is filed under the name Canis lupus familiaris (dog). RNAcentral describes it as "cfa-miR-8826". Lineage: Eukaryota; Metazoa; Chordata; Mammalia; Carnivora; Canidae. The record is from miRBase by way of RNAcentral.